This 271-nucleotide ribosomal RNA is filed under the name uncultured prokaryote. Its description in RNAcentral is "partial 16S ribosomal RNA". It matches the Rfam family "Bacterial small subunit ribosomal RNA", at positions 524 to 794 of the family's 1533-position model. The record is from RNAcentral.
UACAGAGGUGGCGAGCGUUGUUCGGAUUUACUGGGCGUAAAGGGCGCGUAGGCGGCCCCGUGUGUCGCGUGUGAAAUCCCCGGGCUCAACCCGGGAAGUGCGCGCGAAACUGCGGGGCUCGAGCGGAGGAGGGGAGAGCGGAAUUCAUGGUGUAGCGGUGAAAUGCGUUGAUAUCAUGAGGAACACCGGUAGCGAAGGCGGCUCUCUGGAAUCCUGCUGACGCUGAGGCGCGAAAGCCGGGGGAGCAAACAGGAUUAGAUACCCGUGUAGU